Ictidomys tridecemlineatus (thirteen-lined ground squirrel) is the source of this 69-nucleotide non-coding RNA. The record is from Rfam. NCBI's taxonomy places the organism in Eukaryota, Metazoa, Chordata, Mammalia, Rodentia, Sciuridae.
GGGAUUGUGGCUCAGUGGUAGAGCACUUGCCUAGCAUGUGUGAGGCCCUGGGUUCAAUCCUCAGCACCA